Long non-coding RNA from Ricinus communis (castor bean), 2670 nucleotides. RefSeq lists it as uncharacterized. NCBI's taxonomy places the organism in Eukaryota, Viridiplantae, Streptophyta, Magnoliopsida, Malpighiales, Euphorbiaceae. The record is from RefSeq and is a predicted model, not a curated record. The transcript is spliced from 6 exons.
UUGUUGGGUUAAAAAAAAACUAUUGAAUUAACUUGCAAAGAAAAAAGAAAAAGAAAACGUUGUAGAGGGCAUAUGUGCAAAAUUUCUGAAUAGAAAUUAAUUAACCCGACAUAAUAAAGAUCCUCAUUUUCAAAACUUUGACAAAAGAUCCACUCCACUGGCAUCGGCGAUUAAACACAGGCAACCGCAUUAGAAGAAUAUGCCAAUCGCUAUUAAAAAGUAAUUCAAAUUAGAAGAAAAAAAAGAAGAAGAAACUAGUCGUUGGGGCUCACAAAUUCAAAUGGUAUAUAUAUUGGGUCAUAACACAAGUUGUCCAUUUUUCUUCAUAACAAAUCUCUUCUUCUUCCUCCUCAAUUCUCUCUAUUUCUCUCUCUAAACGCUCCUCCCUCUUUCUCUCUCUCAAUGCUCCUCUCUCUCUCUCUUUCUCUGAUUCUGUUUGAAAAGCUUGCUGUGCAUAGAUCUGCAUUGUACUUAUCUUGAGAAUUCCACCCCGCAGAGAGACUUUACGGUUAAGAAUUUUUUAUUAGAGAUUUAUAAUGAAAAUGUCAGGGACCUGCUGAACUCAGAAUCAGAAAGGUGCUGUGGUCGAGAAGUUGGUUGAAGAAACAACAACCGAUGAUCAGCAUUUGAGGCAUCUUAUAAGUAUGUGUGACUAGUGAAGAACUGUAUUUUUGCGUUGGCCUUUCUGAAAUCACCCAUGAUUUUCAGAAUUUUGUAGACCUUGCUGGAAGUGAAAGAGCUUCACAGACACAUGCAGAUGGGGCGAGGCUCAGAGAAGGCGAUCAUAUCAAUCUUAGUUUGAUAACUCUCACAACUAUGAUAAGAAAGCUCAGUGUUGCGAAAAGAAGCGGUCAUAUACCCUACGGGGACUCCAGCUUCCCGGCAAGUUUUGGAAAAUGAGAUUGAAACAGAGCACCAGAAAAUGAAGACUUUAUUUCAUAUCCGGUGAGACCCAGCCAGAGUCUGUGAAAGAGACUUCUACAAUAUGUGGAGACGUUUCAUCAAAGGAAGGAACUCCAGGCUAUCGUCAUUCUAUUUCUGUUAAUACGAACAAAAUGCAGAAGGUGGCUUAGAAUGCAGCAGAGGAGAAUGUGAGAAGCAUAAGAGCUUAUGUGACAGAAUUGAAGGAACAUGUUGCGAAACUGCAGUACCAAAAGCAGCUACUUGUUUGCUAGGUCAUUGAGCUGGAAGCAAAUGAAGCGGCAUUUGGCAGAAAUAGGCAAUUCAAGCCCUGCUCCUCAUGUUGGAGAUGAGCUUACAAUUUCUAUCGUCAAGCUCGAGCAAUGAGACGUGAAAGAGAGUUUCUGGCAAAGAGGUUGACUUCACGUUUUAAAUGAAAGUGCUGAGAUAGUGGUAAAGCUUGUAGGAUUAUGUGAGAAUUCCAUUUGAGCUAAAUUUUGCACUACCAACAGAUAACAAACCCUGGAUUAUGGGGUGGAACCCAAUUUCAAACCUUCUACAUUUCUGACAAUUACAUUUUUCAUUUGUAAGUAUUUCCUAUUUCUGUACUUGUAAAUGAAUUUUAGAGGUUUUUUCUCCAUGCAUCAUUUGUUUAUAUCUUUACUUUUGCUCAAAAUUAUGGUGUCACCAAUGGGCAUGGAUAUGGCAAUCUUAAUAUUUUAAUAACAAAAGAAUUGAUUUAUCUUGUUUCCAUAUGAUCUAUUAUUUCCUCUGUUUCCCACUUGUGAAUUGUAAAAUACCAAACAGUUUAAUUGAUGUUUCCUUUUCUCCUUUCCUAUCAAGAAUACCAACAAUAUUAGUAAACUUUACAAAUUUCUACAAGUGUGACUCUGCAAUAAAAACUAAGUUAUACAAUACUUUUGUGUCUUUUUUAAGUCCUUUAAUUGUCUAAAUUCUUCCUUUAUCAUUUGUAUCCAUCAUAAUUAGAUAAAUUGGCUACUUUCGGGGCAUUGUAGAAGAAAAACUUCUACUUCAGGACCCAUACUUACCGGUAAUAGUAAUAGGCUGUUUCUUUUCCAACAUUAUUAUGUCUAUUUUAAACUUAUCAUCUUUACUUCUUUCUUUUUAUAUUCCUUAAUGAGUUCAAAUUACAUUACUGUAUUAUAAUUGUGUGUAGUCUGAAUUGAAACAAACAUAUGAGUAGUAGUAAUUAAGAGUCCAUUAGAAUCUAAUAAAAUUUAUUAAAGAAAAUAUGGCUUAUAACUGAAGAUAAUUAAAUUUUCCAUUACAAUAGUCAUAAUAUUGUUUGAGGCAUACAUUUAUGAUAUAGCAAUCGAGUAUAACAUUUUAUUUUGUUGGUUUAGCUUCUUUUGUCGGUGGAAGUAUUAAAUUUAAUAGUUUAUUAAUUUAUUACUGAUUGUGCUACAGUUCAAAUGCAAGUUUAUUUUUUGUUAUCUCUUUUCCAGUAGUUCUAAUAUUAUUUUAUAGUUGUUCUUAAUUCGCUUUUAAUUUCUUUUAUUUUAUAAUUUAUUUGUUUAUUUGCAUUUUUAUUUGUUAAUGUCCUUUACUAAUCUAAAUUUUUUCAUAAUGACAGAUUCUACUUAUCCGGUUUAGAGAUCCUAAGCGAUCUUCUUUAAACUUUUAGGAUUAGUUUUUAGUUAAUUAAUUAGUUUUUCUUAUUUGAUUGUUUUGAGGCUUUUAAGCCAUGGUUGUAAUUAAUUUCCCUUAAUCGUCCUGAUCUCCUUAACCCCUUUCUAGAUUUCUUUUUUC